AAACACGAACUCGUUACAUGUAAAGAAUAAAAAGUUAAAUUAGAUUAGGGCUCGUUCGGUUACCUAUAUCGAAUUAGAUUGGUUUAGAUGAAAUUGAAUUAACCCUUUGUUGAGUAAUUAAUUAUUUACUUAUUAAGACGUUCGGUUCAUUGUAUUAGAUCUUGUAUUAAAUAUUAUACGUAAUUUGUUUAUAAAACCUUUAAGUUAAUAAAAUUAACAUGUAAUUUAAAAUAUUUUUUACUUGUUUAGUCACUCGUAUGAAAUUAAUCUCAGAGGGAGGAUAUUACUAAUUUAAUGAAAUAAUAACAUUUAACAGCGAAUUUUAAUAAUUUUAGUAGUGAGUUUGAAAAAUAUUAAAUUUUGCCAAUCGAACAUAUUACUAGCCCAUACUAUUUAGUCCAUAAAAUCUUAUAACGGUAACCAAACGAGUUCUUAAUAUUUCGUAGUUGUAAUAAAUAUUGUACAUGCUUAAUGAGGGCAUAAUUGAUAGGAAAUUGAACUCAAGGGGGAGUAAUUGAAGGCUCAGAUAAGAAAGGGGAGUCAAGUGAAAUUAAGAAGAAGAAGAAAAAAAGUAGCAGUACCUUCCGCUUAUACCAAUUGUACAUUUUAGACGCUCCCCUACCCCUAGCCCGAAACACGUAUAAAUAUGAUAAAAAAAACACUAAAUACACACACCAGCCAGAUUCAUUUCCCCGCUUAAAACGUAUUUGGAGAGAAACUAAAAUUUAUUGCACAAUUUGACUUUGAUACGUUUAUUUUUUUAUGAGUAACUAGCAUUAAUGGAUGCUGGUAGGGUAUUCGAGCUCAAACCGUCCGCCAUUGACGCCGCGGCGGAGGUGGCUGAGCUGCGGAGAGAGAAUCGAGAGGGUCCGCGGUUGAAAUUGAUGCAUUGAUGGCUAAAACUUAGUCGUUGAUGGACAAGAUCUCGUCGAAUCCCAAGAACCCUAGCCCCGUUGCAAAUCGCAUCCAGGUAAUUCAUGGUGGUUUUUAAUUGUUAUCAUUUGGAUCGUGUUUAUUAGGUUUCAUUAACUGUGUAUUUAUCUAUUAUUUAUUCAUUUUCAAUCAAAGUGGAAGGAUCACUCGAGAAACCAUUUUCAAAAUUGGGAAGAUUUAAGAACAGAAAAAUCGGAGCUUAUUACGAUGCAUUUAUAUAAGGAUCUCAAGUGUGAUUUGAGCGUUUAUUUGGUUAUUAAGUGAUGCAGUUUGCUGUCAUUUCCUGCAGCUAAUCUAAUGACUAACUGUAAAUGGAAAAUCGAAUAAAUCGGUAACUCAAAUUAAGGAUAUUCGUAACGGAACUGUAGUUAAUGUAUUCUCUUAGAUUGUUUUUCGCACAUUUGGAAGUUGUCUCUCGUGCACGUGUCUUGUUCACAUAGGUGCGCAUCGGUACACGUGCUGAUGUUUUUUAUGGAGAGUUUCUGUUUUUUCUCGAUUAUUUCCAUUUAAAGUUUCUAUUUGAUUUAGGUUUUUAGGGCUUUACCCUUUACGCUUGAACUGCCAAGAGGAAAACGGGGGAAAAAGAAAAGAACCACAGAGUGAAUAUAGAAAGGUCAUUGAAUGAGUAAGUACGCUACUUUCAGCUCCUAUAUAGGGGCGCGAAGGACAGACUUGCCAAAUGUAAUGAUUCUACGUUCGUGAUUUAUGAUAUACUAAGCUUAAGCUAUAUCUCUUUAUCUUUACAUGUCUUUUAUUGACUUACGUAAUUGCACACAUGACUUCCCUAAUCCAUUCCUCACUCGACAAUUGUCCUUCUCUCUUUUUUGUAAUACAAAAAAAUGAAUUCAUGGUAUUUAUGCUUCUUCAAACUUUUGUUUGUUUUUAGUUUUAUACAAGAGUUACUUUUAGUAACUGUUUUCAUAUAUGUAUAUGUAUUUAUAUCUUUCUUUUUUCGUGGAUAUUUAGAUACAUGAAAGACGAAGAUCAUUCCUCGACAAACAAUUACAGGUCUUCUAAUGACCUUGGGCUUAUUGGGAAUCUUAUUCAGGAAUUUAAUUAAAUAAUAUUCUUAGCGAUCUGGAGCAGUCAAAGACUAUUAUAGUAUCUGAAACUGAUGAAGAUAUUUGUGGAUCGUGAUGGCAUGUAGAGACUGCUUGAUGUUCCAAGAAAUGCUCAACCAUUGCUUAGUCUCUCUUCCUGCUUAUUCACAGUUGGUUCGUUUCAGCGGACAAUGGGACACGUGUGCCCGAAACCAAUGAAGAUAUUGGCGAAGUUUACAUAGUGAGCUUCGAUUCACUUAUGCAGCUAAGGGAGAAAGCAUGCGUUAAGUGCCUGAUGGUUAUGGGGAAGCGUAUCAAGAGUAUCGAACCUCUUCUUCAUGAGAAGGCGGUUGAUAUUUCCAUUGAGUUACUAAGGAAAUCUGUUAAAAUUGGCGAGGGUGUACCAUUAUCGAGAAGUAUGCUAUAUUUGCUCGAUUUUUGAAGGUAUUCGGUCACUUUGCGGCUCAUCGAAAAUUUGUAACGUUAUUCAUUGACCGCGGUGGCAGGCAGACACUUAUUGACGUUCCGAGGAAUAAGCGAACGUUUUUCAGUCUCUCUUUGCUCUUAUUCACAAUUAGUACGUUCAAAGCGGACAAUGGGACACGUGUGCCCGAAACCAAUGAAGAUAUUGGCGAAGUUUACAUAGUGAGCUUCGAUUCACUUACGCAGCUAAGGGAGAAAUCCUGUGUCAAGUGUCUGGUGGUUAUGUCGAUAAUUUCUUAGUCUGGGCGAUGGACGAGCCACAAAGAAAUUCCGGUGCUCAUCUCAAAUUGGAGAAUAUUGAAACGAUACGGAAAAUAUUAGAUGUCGAAAUAUUGCACACAUACUCCGUUGGACUUCUUUCAGUAUGCUUGACUUUUGGUUGCCUACGAAUGAAAGAUGCCUUAACGACGUACGGAUUGCCGGUUAUGCUAAUGCGAUAUUUACGAAGUGGGGUUUUGGGCGAACUAAAAAAGACUGCAUUUGAUGCUGCUCUCAUAUGGAAGUUAACUAUGCCGAAAACCGAUAUCGGCGAAGUUUACGUAGCGAGCUUCGAUUCACUUACACAGCUAAGGGAGAAAGCCUGUGUUAAGUGUCUGAUGGUUAUGCGGAAGCGUAUCGAGAGUAUCGAACCUCUUCUUCAUGAGAAGGCGGUUGAUAUUUCCAUUGAGUUACUAAGGAAAUCUGUUAAAAUUGGCGAGGGUGUACCGUUAUCGAGAAGUAUGCUAUACUUGCUCGAUGUUUUGAAGAUAGUCGGUCACUUUGCGGCUCAUCGAAAAUUUGUAACGUUAUUCGUUGACCGUGGUGGCAUGCAGAGAGUUGUUGACGUUCCGAGAAAUAAGCAAACCUUUUUCAGUCUCUCUUUGCUCUUAUUCACAAUUAGUAAGUUUAAGGUACUUGGUCAAUUUGCGGCUCAUCGAAAAUUUGUGACAUUAUUCGUGCACUGUGGUGGCAUGCAAACGCUCGUUGACGUUCCGAGGAAUAAGGGAACGUUUUUCAGUAUCUCUUUGCUCUUAUUCGCAAUUUGUUCGUUUAAGGGCAUAAUGGAACACGUGUGCGAUCUUCCUUCAAACGUCAUCGAAAGAGUUGUGGAGUUGGCUUUGGAGCUUCUCGAGUGUCGGGACGAUUUAUCGAGCAAGAAUGCCGGUUCAUUUAUUUCGUCCGCUUUUUCUUUCCGUGCGUUCGUCAGAAAGGAUGGUUUCCGAAAGCUUCUUUGUUAUCUGCAAGAGUAUGUUUCCAAUCAGAAGAAAGCCCACUGCACAUGCAUUGCACUGCACCGGUACAUGAAAGCACACCUCCACUUGUUUGUGGAUUCCAUUUUGCACGUCUCGAAAGUUAGGGUUUCGUAUAGACAACUCGACUUAAGUAACGAGGCCGUGGACGUUGUAUUUCGUAAAAUACAAAAGGAUCAGAAAGUGGGACCCGCUUUUGCAAGGGCGACGAGCUGGCAUGCCGUCGACGAAUUCUUACGUUUGAAAGGUCAUAUUACCUUGUUGGAGAUGUGCCAGAACAUAUAUAGGUUACAAGAUUCGCUUCCACACGUACUCGGUGUAUUGCAUAUCGUAACUUUAAUUCCAUACAGCCGUGAAAUAAUAAUAAACGCAACAGUAAGCGAUGGUCGAGUCGGCAUGGCUGUUAUUUUGGAUGCAAUAAUGACCCCAGCCGACGUUAAACCAGAGGGUGUUGAGCCGGCGCUACAUCUGUUGAUAAAUCUCGUCUGCCCUCCUCAAUCGAUGACCGACGAAUCAAAUGCAGCCAUCGUGCCACAUCAGCAAGCUUCCUCUGAACUAGAGAAGCUAGAACAAGGAUAUCGACGAAUUCUUACGUUUGAAAGGUCAUAUUACCAUGUUGGAGAUGUGUCAGGGUGCAAUAGGAUACGCGUGUGCCACAUUUAUCUACUGUCGUUGGCCCACUGUCUACAAAUUCAUAAGUUCAAAUGGUCAUAUUACUUUGUUGGAGUUGUGCCAAGCCUCACAAUUAACACGUACUCUACAAGGUUCUCUUCAAUAUAUCAUCGAAGUAUUGCGUAUACUGACUUUGAUUCAGUGUAUUCGAAAAGAUAUCAUAAAUGCAACGUUAAGCAAUGGCCGAGCUGGUAUAUCUGUAGUUUUGGAUGUAAUAAAUACACCAGCUAAUUUUGAACCGGAGCAUUGCACAUGUUGGUAAAUCUGGUUUGCCCUCCUCCAUUCAUUCCGAAAGACGGUUUUAAAGAUCGGGCAAUAGACGACAUGGAACAAGGCUGUUGUCUAGCAAGAGAAGCUAUCCGUGCAAAUAACGGUAUAAAGAUUCUUCUUCGGCGUCUCCAACGUCGGAUAGCCGCAUCCCAAGCCGAUCUUGUGCGUCGCCGUGUUCUUACAUGCCGAGUCCUCCUCCGUUUAGCCUAAGAUAAUUCCAUUGCACGUAUAUUAUCAAAGCUUGAGUUUCCAGAUGUUCCGACAAAAUCUGUGCAAGUACAAAUGCAAUCGUCAUCUCGAAUUUCUCCUUGUGGAUUGUUUUCGCCUUUUUGGACAAAAUCCAAAUAUUUUUCACACAAAAAAAUUGUGUGCCUUGUGUGUGUUUCAUGUGCGCUAUGUUUGUGCAUAUAUUUCGUGAGCAAACUGCACACUGUAUGUCCAUAUUUUGAGUAUGACAUGUGUAUUUUGUGUACGAAUAUUGUUUUUUAAACAAUGCGUUAGAUCGGUCGAAAAUUUCAACCAACCCAAUAUAUAAUUGUGGUGGUUCAUGGUUUCUAAUAUCACGAAAAGUCGAUUGACCGAUAAUUAUCGAUGAAUCAAUUAUAUUAAUAUUUUAUUAUUUUAUUA
Non-coding RNA from Erythranthe guttata (spotted monkey flower), 5254 nucleotides. Lineage: Eukaryota; Viridiplantae; Streptophyta; Magnoliopsida; Lamiales; Phrymaceae. The record is from RefSeq and is a predicted model, not a curated record.